Molecule: long non-coding RNA, 909 nt
Organism: Cercocebus atys (sooty mangabey)
Lineage: Eukaryota; Metazoa; Chordata; Mammalia; Primates; Cercopithecidae
Exons: 3
Source: RefSeq, a predicted model, not a curated record
UCAGCUCUGAGCUGUAUUCGAUGUGAUUCCUCUGAGUGUUCCCAAUGGGAUUGAGCACAGUGGUUCAGAGUGCACUGCUGGGUUAGGGUCUCCCCGACUGAGCUGGUCUUGGCAAGUGGCAUCCAUUCAUAGGGGCUCGAAUCCAGGUCAAAGGGUCGCUGGAGCACCGGUUGGAACGGAAAACUAGCUGGAGGACACCCGAGUACUCUUAAAGCAAUCCCCAUGAUGGAUCUAGUAAUGGUAAAACUUCUUAUUCUGGCUCGAAAAGUAAAGUUUUCCAGACGUCCUACAUUCAGCUCAAAAAGCGGAGCUUGUAGCUGUAAUUGAGGUAUUGACUGCUUUUGAUAUGCCUAUUAAUGUGAUUUCUGAUUCUUCAUACGUGGUUAAUUACACAGUUAAUUGUGUAAUUCACACAGUUAAUUGAAAAUGCUCAGUUACAAUUUCAUACAAACAAUUGAUGACUUUAUUUACCCAAUUGCCAACAGCAGUUAGGAGUAGAAUGCGUCCUUUUUACAUUACUCACAUUAGAGCUCAUACACCUCUUCCAGGACCUUUGACUGAAGGGAAUCAAAUGGCUGAUCACCUAGUUGCUAAUGCAAUAUCUAAUGCUAGACACUUUCACAAUUUAACCCAUGUUAUUGCCUCUGCUCUCAAACGCAGAUACAGCAUUACAGCAUUACCUGGAAAGAAGCUAAAGCUAUUAUCCAGAGAUGCACAACUUGACAAAUUGUACAUUCCUCAUCUUUUACAGGAGGAGUUAAUCCUCAAGGACUGGAACCUAACUCUAUUUGGCAAAUGGAUGUCACGUAUGUUCCCUCGUUUAGGAGACUAGCUUAUGUACAUGUAUGUGUGGACACCUUUUCUCACUUUGUCUGGGCUACAUGCCAAACAGGAGAGUCUUCUGCCUGU